RNAcentral lists this ribosomal RNA (400 nucleotides) under uncultured bacterium. Its description in RNAcentral is "bacterial SSU rRNA". It matches the Rfam family "Bacterial small subunit ribosomal RNA", at positions 28 to 399 of the family's 1533-position model. The record is from RNAcentral.
CGGCCGCGUCGACGACGAACGCUGGCGGCGUGCCUAAUACAUGCAAGUAGAACGCUGAAGAGAGGAGCUUGCUCUUCUUGGAUGAGUUGCGAACGGGUGAGUAACGCGUAGGUAACCUGCCUUGUAGCGGGGGAUAACUAUUGGAAACGAUAGCUAAUACCGCAUAACAAUGGAUGACACAUGUCAUUUAUUUGAAAGGGGCAAUUGCUCCACUACAAGAUGGACCUGCGUUGUAUUAGCUAGUAGGUGAGGUAACGGCUCACCUAGGCGACGAUACAUAGCCGACCUGAGAGGGUGAUCGGCCACACUGGGACUGAGACACGGCCCAGACUCCUACGGGAGGCAGGCAAGUAGGGAAUCUUCGGCAAUGGGGGGCAAACCCUGACCCGAGCAAACGCCG